CAGUAUCACAUACCUCAGAAGACCAAGAAGAACAUACAGAUCUACUUGGAUAAGUUUGUGAAGUAUGGCAUCCUAAAAUUCUGUACCUCCCCUUGGAACACUCCAUUAUUACCUGUUCAAAAACCAGGAUCAGAUGAGUAUCCUCCUGUACAAGAUUUAAGAGCAGUUAAUGAUGCAGUAGUUAAUAUACACCCAGUGGUACCCAACCCCUAUAAUCUGCUUGCUCU
Non-coding RNA from Pelobates cultripes (western spadefoot toad), 227 nucleotides. NCBI's taxonomy places the organism in Eukaryota, Metazoa, Chordata, Amphibia, Anura, Pelobatidae. The record is from the annotation of a GenBank genome assembly.